CCUACGGGUGGCAGCAGUGAGGAAUCUUCGUCAAUGGGCGCGAGCCUGAACCAGCCAAGUCGCGUGAAUGAUGACUGCCCUACGGGUUGUAAACUUCUUUUAUAAAGGAAUAAAGUGAGGCUCGUGUCCCUUUUUGUUUUUAUUUUAUGAAUAUGGAUCGGCUAACUCCGUGCCAGCCGCCGCGGUAAUACGGAGGAUCCGAGCGUUAUCCGGAUUUAUUGGGUUUAAAGGGAGCGUAGGUGGGUUGUUAAGUCAGUUGUGAAAGUUUGCGGCUCAACCGUACAAUUGCAAUUGAUACUGGCGGCCUUGAGUGCAGUUGAGGUAGGCGGAAUUCGUGGUGUAGCGGUGAAAUGCUUAGAUAUAACGAAGAACUCCGAUGGCGAAGGCAGCCUACUAAACUGCCACUGACAUUGAGGCUCGAAAGUGUGGGUAGCAAACAGGAUUAGAUACCCUAGUAGUC
This 460-nucleotide ribosomal RNA is filed under the name uncultured bacterium. RNAcentral's name for it is "partial 16S ribosomal RNA". It matches the Rfam family "Bacterial small subunit ribosomal RNA", at positions 338 to 795 of the family's 1533-position model. The record is from RNAcentral.